GAUGAACGCUGGCGGCGUGCCUAAUACAUGCAAGUCGAGCGAACAGACGAGGAGCUUGCUCCUCUGACGUUAGCGGCGGGCGGGUGAGUAACACGUGGAUAACCUACCUAUAAGACUGGGAUAACUUCGGGAAACCGGAGCUAAUACCGGAUAAUAUAUUGAACCGCAUGGUUCAAUAGUGAAAGACGGUUUUGCUGUCACUUAUAGAUGGAUCCGCGCCGCAUUAGCUAGUUGGUAAGGUAACGGCUUACCAAGGCGACGAUGCGUAGCCGACCUGAGAGGGUGAUCGGCCACACUGGAACUGAGACACGGUCCAGACUCCUACGGGAGGCAGCAGUAGGGAAUCUUCCGCAAUGGGCGAAAGCUUGACGGAGCAACGCCGCGUGAGUGAUGAAGGUCUUCGGAUCGUAAAACUCUGUUAUUAGGGAAGAACAAAUGUGUAAGUAACUAUGCACGUCUUGACGGUACCUAAUCAGAAAGCCACGGCUAACUACGUG
This 497-nucleotide ribosomal RNA is filed under the name uncultured bacterium. RNAcentral's name for it is "partial 16S ribosomal RNA". It matches the Rfam family "Bacterial small subunit ribosomal RNA", at positions 28 to 507 of the family's 1533-position model. The record is from RNAcentral.